RNAcentral lists this long non-coding RNA (941 nucleotides) under Sorghum bicolor (sorghum). Its description in RNAcentral is "long non-coding RNA (SBIC_LNC013567)". The record is from RNAcentral. Lineage: Eukaryota; Viridiplantae; Streptophyta; Magnoliopsida; Poales; Poaceae.
UGAUAUGACACUCAGCAAAGCAUGCGCUAAUGGAACCAGCGCCGUGACAACUACUUUUCUUUACUGAGAGCCGUGAUUGCUCUCGGCAAAGACUUUGCCGUGUGUCCAAUAAAAAUAUUCUCAGCAAAGAAUUCUUUGCCUGUGGAUUUUUUACCGAAGGUUCUUUGUCAAGUGCUGCCCUCGACAAAAACUUUGCCGAGGGCAAUGUAGCCUUUGCCUAGCCUUUGCCAAGUGCAUUAGACCCUCGGCAAAUUGCUUGAAUCCAGUAGUGAUACAUAAGAGAAUACUAGUAUAAUACCCAUGCUAACGCCACGAUUUUGUUUAGGGAUACACAUGAAAUUAACCAAAUAAUAUGUUUUUUGUAUAGUUCGCUUUUUACGCAGAGCAUGUAUACGGAAACACCUUUGCAAUAGAAGACACAAUAAAAUUAUUUCUGACAUUAACCAUCUAAGUUACAUUCUAUUUAAGUCCUUAAGCAUGUCUUAGAGAUCAUCAUGGAAGCUGUCAAAAUAUUUGUUUGUACGGUUCUUCAAAAUAUCCGCCAGCUACGUAUAAAAUUGGAAAUAUAUGUACUAUCCUCUAAAAUUAUUUUGAUUAAAUUGAUCUAUGGUUUCUUGAAAGACUAAAACGAUGGCAACCUCCGUAUAACCCUCAAUGCUCAUUUGACACAGAAGACUAAUAUGAUUGGGAGUAUGUGACAACCAAAUGUUGGAUCAAGAAUGAUCAGAUUAUUUGCAACCAACUACAGAUCGUCAUAUUGCUGCAACCUGCAUAAGAAUGAUGAGAUGAGAGUGGAUUAAAUUGAGAUAAAGCAUACUACGAUAGUGUGACCUAUUGUUAAGUAGCAGCAAGCUGUAUCUUUGAACUUUGUUAUACAACAAAGAAUUGGUGGCUCUUAACAUAGUUUGGAUAUUUUGUUGUCUCAAAAUAAAUAACGUCAU